This 497-nucleotide ribosomal RNA is filed under the name uncultured bacterium. Its description in RNAcentral is "partial 16S ribosomal RNA". It matches the Rfam family "Bacterial small subunit ribosomal RNA", at positions 28 to 507 of the family's 1533-position model. The record is from RNAcentral.
GAUGAACGCUGGCGGCGUGCCUAAUACAUGCAAGUCGAGCGAACGGACGAGAAGCUUGCUUUUCUGAUGUUAGCGGCGGACGGGUGAGUAACACGUGGAUAACCUACCUAUAAGACUGGGAUAACUUCGGGAAACCGGAGCUAAUACCGGAUAAUAUUUUGAACCGCAUGGUUCAAAAGUGAAAGACGGUCUUGCUGUCACUUAUAGAUGGAUCCGCGCUGCAUUAGCUAGUUGGUAAGGUAACGGCUUACCAAGGCAACGAUGCAUAGCCGACCUGAGAGGGUGCGCGGCAACAGUGAGACGAGACCCGGGACAGGACCCCGAGGGGGGGCACAAGGAGGGAUUCUUCCGCAAGGGGCGAAGCCCGGGAGGAGCAACGCGGCGGGAGUGAUAAAGGUCUUGGUAUCGAAAAACUUUUUUAUGGGGGAAAAACAUAUGUGUAAGUAACUGUGCACAUCUUGGGGGACCCUAAUAAGAGGACCCGGGCAAACCACGGG